This 253-nucleotide ribosomal RNA is filed under the name uncultured bacterium. RNAcentral's name for it is "partial 16S ribosomal RNA". It matches the Rfam family "Bacterial small subunit ribosomal RNA", at positions 524 to 776 of the family's 1533-position model. The record is from RNAcentral.
UACGAAGGAUUCGAGCGUUAUCCGGAUUUAUUGGGUUUAAAGGGUCCGUAGGCGGCUUUUUAAGUCAGUGGUGAAAUCCCAGAGCUCAACUCUGGAACUGCCAUUGAAACUGAAGAGCUUGAAUAUGGUUGAGGUAGGCGGAAUACGUUAUGUAGCGGUGAAAUGCAUAGAUAUAACGUAGAACACCAAUUGCGAAGGCAGCUUACUAAGCCAUUAUUGACGCUGAUGGACGAAAGCAUAGGGAGCGAACAGG